Vulpes vulpes (red fox) is the source of this 107-nucleotide small nuclear RNA. NCBI's taxonomy places the organism in Eukaryota, Metazoa, Chordata, Mammalia, Carnivora, Canidae. The record is from Ensembl.
GUGCUCACUUUAGCAGCACAUGUACUAAAAUUGGAAUGAUACAGAGAGGAUUAGUAUGGGCCAUGCACAAAGAUGACACACAAAUUUGGGAAGCAUUCCUAAUUUUU